RNAcentral lists this ribosomal RNA (376 nucleotides) under Chaetothyriales sp. RNAcentral's name for it is "SSU rRNA". It matches the Rfam family "Eukaryotic small subunit ribosomal RNA", at positions 381 to 760 of the family's 1831-position model. The record is from RNAcentral. Lineage: Eukaryota; Fungi; Ascomycota; Eurotiomycetes; Chaetothyriales.
CGGAAGAGGGGAACCCUGAAAAACGGCUACCCCAUCCAGGAAGGGCAGCAGGCGCGCAAAUUACCCAUUCCCGACACGGGGAGGUAGUGACAAUAAAUACUGAUACGGGGGCUUUUUGGGUCUCGUAAUUGGAANGAGUACAAUCUAAAUCCCUUAACGAGGAACAAUUGGAGGGCAAGUCUGGUGCCAGCAGCCGCGGUAAUUCCAGCUCCAAUAGCGUAUAUUAAAGUUGUUGCCGUUAAAAAGCUCGUAGUUGAACCUUGGGCCUGGCUGACCUGUCCUCCUAAUCGAGCGCACGGGUUCGGUCGGGCCUUUCCUUCUAGGGAACCCCAUGCCCUUCACUAGGUGUGGUGGGGAACUAGGACUUUUACCUUGA